AUGGCCGGGCCCACGCAGAGCAGCCCGCUCCGGCGAUGGAAGCGUUUCUUCCGCGCCUUCGACUCUGUGGACGCCGCCAUCAAGCCCUCCGACCCUGACCACUCACGCGACGAGCUCCGGCGCGCCAGGGUCGACAUCGUGGAGCAGCUCUGCGACGCCGCGGACGACGACCAGGCGGAGCGCCUCUGCGGGAUGCUCGACGACCACAUGGUGGAGUCCGUUGAGACGCUGCGGCUGGUUCCGGUGAUGCCCAGCGUGUUGGCUUCCACGGACCUCUGCAAGUCCGUCUGCGCGCUGCGCAGGCACGAGUCGAAGCGCGUCCACGUCCUGGCCAGAGGCCUCGUGAGCGGGUGGAGGGCGUCGUUGAAGGACGAGCUCGGCAUGGUCAGAGACGCCAUGCACAAGCUUGACAACAUCAACAUGCCGGAGACAAAGGAGAUCGCCGUCGAUCAGCAGACCGUGGGAAUCAGCAAGAAGGCGCCUGAAGGCGUCCCCCGCUGGACGCAGUUGGUGCAGGCGCCCAAGAUGAUGCAGCCAAUCAGGAGGUGCACCAGCUCCAUGGUCAAGAAAACCUUCGCGAUCAAGACGCAGCUUCACUUUACACAUCUAGACCAUGAGAGCCAGUUAACUCCAUGGUCACCACUGAUAAACAACAGCAGCGACCCCAUGCCCCUCUCUCCAUCCUUUCUAUCCCCAAAUGAUGUAGUUCCUCGAAAAAAAAGCUCUUGGGUGGUCUUUUCAUUUCAGUACCGAAGCCGAAUAGAUCAAUUAGAUGACCAUGGGUAUGAGUCUCUUGCUUCACCUUCACGUGUCCCAUUUCUGCAUCCGUUCUUGCACGAGUCGGAGCGCGUCCGCGUCCUAGCCAAUGGCCUCGUGAGCGGGUGGAGGGCGUCGAUGAAGGACGAGCUCGCCAAGGUCAGAGACGCCCUGCACAAGCAUGACAACAUCGACAUGCCGCAGACAAAGGAGAUCACCGUCGAUCAGCAGCAACAUGUCUCCGCCGAUUCUGACAUCGUCAUGAAGACCGUGGGAAUCAGCAAGAAGGCGUCCCCCGCCAAAUUGACACCAAUGCCGUUCGAUGCAUCAAGCUAA
RNAcentral lists this ribosomal RNA (1092 nucleotides) under Triticum aestivum (bread wheat). RNAcentral's name for it is "partial small subunit ribosomal RNA". The record is from RNAcentral. Lineage: Eukaryota; Viridiplantae; Streptophyta; Magnoliopsida; Poales; Poaceae.